GACGAACGCUGGCGGCGUGCUUAACACAUGCAAGUCGAGCGGUAAGGCCCUUUCGGGGUACGACGAGCGGCGAACGGGUGAGUAACACGUGGGUGACCUGCCCUUACGCUCUGGGAGUAAGCCUGGGAAACUGGGUCGUAAUACCGGAUAUGACUCCAUGACGCAUGUUGUGGGGUGGAAAGCCUUGUGCGGCUAGGGAUGGGCCCGCGGCCUAUCAGCUUGUUGGUGGGGUG
This 233-nucleotide ribosomal RNA is filed under the name uncultured bacterium. RNAcentral describes it as "partial 16S ribosomal RNA". It matches the Rfam family "Bacterial small subunit ribosomal RNA", at positions 28 to 259 of the family's 1533-position model. The record is from RNAcentral.